This 2931-nucleotide ribosomal RNA is filed under the name Escherichia coli str. K-12 substr. W3110. RNAcentral describes it as "bacterial LSU rRNA". It matches the Rfam family "Bacterial large subunit ribosomal RNA". Lineage: Bacteria; Pseudomonadati; Pseudomonadota; Gammaproteobacteria; Enterobacterales; Enterobacteriaceae. The record is from RNAcentral.
GGGUUGUGAGGUUAAGCGACUAAGCGUACACGGUGGAUGCCCUGGCAGUCAGAGGCGAUGAAGGACGUGCUAAUCUGCGAUAAGCGUCGGUAAGGUGAUAUGAACCGUUAUAACCGGCGAUUUCCGAAUGGGGAAACCCAGUGUGUUUCGACACACUAUCAUUAACUGAAUCCAUAGGUUAAUGAGGCGAACCGGGGGAACUGAAACAUCUAAGUACCCCGAGGAAAAGAAAUCAACCGAGAUUCCCCCAGUAGCGGCGAGCGAACGGGGAGCAGCCCAGAGCCUGAAUCAGUGUGUGUGUUAGUGGAAGCGUCUGGAAAGGCGCGCGAUACAGGGUGACAGCCCCGUACACAAAAAUGCACAUGCUGUGAGCUCGAUGAGUAGGGCGGGACACGUGGUAUCCUGUCUGAAUAUGGGGGGACCAUCCUCCAAGGCUAAAUACUCCUGACUGACCGAUAGUGAACCAGUACCGUGAGGGAAAGGCGAAAAGAACCCCGGCGAGGGGAGUGAAAAAGAACCUGAAACCGUGUACGUACAAGCAGUGGGAGCACGCUUAGGCGUGUGACUGCGUACCUUUUGUAUAAUGGGUCAGCGACUUAUAUUCUGUAGCAAGGUUAACCGAAUAGGGGAGCCGAAGGGAAACCGAGUCUUAACUGGGCGUUAAGUUGCAGGGUAUAGACCCGAAACCCGGUGAUCUAGCCAUGGGCAGGUUGAAGGUUGGGUAACACUAACUGGAGGACCGAACCGACUAAUGUUGAAAAAUUAGCGGAUGACUUGUGGCUGGGGGUGAAAGGCCAAUCAAACCGGGAGAUAGCUGGUUCUCCCCGAAAGCUAUUUAGGUAGCGCCUCGUGAAUUCAUCUCCGGGGGUAGAGCACUGUUUCGGCAAGGGGGUCAUCCCGACUUACCAACCCGAUGCAAACUGCGAAUACCGGAGAAUGUUAUCACGGGAGACACACGGCGGGUGCUAACGUCCGUCGUGAAGAGGGAAACAACCCAGACCGCCAGCUAAGGUCCCAAAGUCAUGGUUAAGUGGGAAACGAUGUGGGAAGGCCCAGACAGCCAGGAUGUUGGCUUAGAAGCAGCCAUCAUUUAAAGAAAGCGUAAUAGCUCACUGGUCGAGUCGGCCUGCGCGGAAGAUGUAACGGGGCUAAACCAUGCACCGAAGCUGCGGCAGCGACGCUUAUGCGUUGUUGGGUAGGGGAGCGUUCUGUAAGCCUGCGAAGGUGUGCUGUGAGGCAUGCUGGAGGUAUCAGAAGUGCGAAUGCUGACAUAAGUAACGAUAAAGCGGGUGAAAAGCCCGCUCGCCGGAAGACCAAGGGUUCCUGUCCAACGUUAAUCGGGGCAGGGUGAGUCGACCCCUAAGGCGAGGCCGAAAGGCGUAGUCGAUGGGAAACAGGUUAAUAUUCCUGUACUUGGUGUUACUGCGAAGGGGGGACGGAGAAGGCUAUGUUGGCCGGGCGACGGUUGUCCCGGUUUAAGCGUGUAGGCUGGUUUUCCAGGCAAAUCCGGAAAAUCAAGGCUGAGGCGUGAUGACGAGGCACUACGGUGCUGAAGCAACAAAUGCCCUGCUUCCAGGAAAAGCCUCUAAGCAUCAGGUAACAUCAAAUCGUACCCCAAACCGACACAGGUGGUCAGGUAGAGAAUACCAAGGCGCUUGAGAGAACUCGGGUGAAGGAACUAGGCAAAAUGGUGCCGUAACUUCGGGAGAAGGCACGCUGAUAUGUAGGUGAGGUCCCUCGCGGAUGGAGCUGAAAUCAGUCGAAGAUACCAGCUGGCUGCAACUGUUUAUUAAAAACACAGCACUGUGCAAACACGAAAGUGGACGUAUACGGUGUGACGCCUGCCCGGUGCCGGAAGGUUAAUUGAUGGGGUUAGCGCAAGCGAAGCUCUUGAUCGAAGCCCCGGUAAACGGCGGCCGUAACUAUAACGGUCCUAAGGUAGCGAAAUUCCUUGUCGGGUAAGUUCCGACCUGCACGAAUGGCGUAAUGAUGGCCAGGCUGUCUCCACCCGAGACUCAGUGAAAUUGAACUCGCUGUGAAGAUGCAGUGUACCCGCGGCAAGACGGAAAGACCCCGUGAACCUUUACUAUAGCUUGACACUGAACAUUGAGCCUUGAUGUGUAGGAUAGGUGGGAGGCUUUGAAGUGUGGACGCCAGUCUGCAUGGAGCCGACCUUGAAAUACCACCCUUUAAUGUUUGAUGUUCUAACGUUGACCCGUAAUCCGGGUUGCGGACAGUGUCUGGUGGGUAGUUUGACUGGGGCGAUCUCCUCCUAAAGAGUAACGGAGGAGCACGAAGGUUGGCUAAUCCUGGUCGGACAUCAGGAGGUUAGUGCAAUGGCAUAAGCCAGCUUGACUGCGAGCGUGACGGCGCGAGCAGGUGCGAAAGCAGGUCAUAGUGAUCCGGUGGUUCUGAAUGGAAGGGCCAUCGCUCAACGGAUAAAAGGUACUCCGGGGAUAACAGGCUGAUACCGCCCAAGAGUUCAUAUCGACGGCGGUGUUUGGCACCUCGAUGUCGGCUCAUCACAUCCUGGGGCUGAAGUAGGUCCCAAGGGUAUGGCUGUUCGCCAUUUAAAGUGGUACGCGAGCUGGGUUUAGAACGUCGUGAGACAGUUCGGUCCCUAUCUGCCGUGGGCGCUGGAGAACUGAGGGGGGCUGCUCCUAGUACGAGAGGACCGGAGUGGACGCAUCACUGGUGUUCGGGUUGUCAUGCCAAUGGCACUGCCCGGUAGCUAAAUGCGGAAGAGAUAAGUGCUGAAAGCAUCUAAGCACGAAACUUGCCCCGAGAUGAGUUCUCCCUGACUCCUUGAGAGUCCUGAAGGAACGUUGAAGACGACGACGUUGAUAGGCCGGGUGUGUAAGCGCAGCGAUGCGUUGAGCUAACCGGUACUAAUGAACCGUGAGGCUUAACCUUACAACGCCGAAGGUGUUU